GACGAACGCUGGCGGCGUGCUUAACACAUGCAAGUCGAACGGAAAGGCCCUGCUUUUGUGGGGUGCUCGAGUGGCGAACGGGUGAGUAACACGUGAGUAACCUGCCCUUGACUUUGGGAUAACUUCAGGAAACUGGGGCUAAUACUGGAUAGGAGCUCCUGCUGCAUGGUGGGGGUUGGAAAGUUUCGGCGGUUGGGGAUGGACUCGCGGCUUAUCAGCUUGUUGGUGGGGUAGUGGCUGACCAAGGCUUUGACGGGUAGCCGGCCUGAGAGGGUGACCGGCCACAUUGGGACUGAGAUACGGCCCAGACUCCUACGGGAGGCAGCAGUGGGGAAUAUUGCACAAUGGGCGGAAGCCUGAUGCAGCAACGCCGCGUGCGGGAUGACGGCCUUCGGGUUGUAAACCGCUUUCGCCUGUGACGAAGCGUGAGUGACGGUAAUGGGUAAAGAAGCACCGGCUAACUACGUG
This 468-nucleotide ribosomal RNA is filed under the name uncultured bacterium. RNAcentral's name for it is "partial 16S ribosomal RNA". It matches the Rfam family "Bacterial small subunit ribosomal RNA", at positions 28 to 507 of the family's 1533-position model. The record is from RNAcentral.